AGGGCUGGGGCUGCCCGAGCAAGCUUGUCCUCGGCCCGGGCGGCCGGGAAGUCCGGGGCUGGGCACGGGCCAGUGCUCCCGGAGGGUGCAGGCGGCCGUGCACCUGUGCGGGGCCGCUGGGGGUCCUGCGGUCCUCGGCUCCACCCAGCACUUCCUGGGCCGCUCGACCCUUGACGGUGGCGGUCACUAGGGCCCCGAGCGGCCAUAUUGGCUUUGCCGGCAGGCCACUGUGUCCCGGUGCGGGCAGGGUCUGGGUCUGAGCAGCACUGACCUGCUGAGGGCGCUGAUGUGGCAGGUCCCGGCCUGCAGGGGGCGCUGGUGUGCAGGGUCCUGGCCUGACCGGGGGGG
Molecule: long non-coding RNA, 348 nt
Filed under: Rattus norvegicus (Norway rat)
Lineage: Eukaryota; Metazoa; Chordata; Mammalia; Rodentia; Muridae
Description: long non-coding RNA NONRATT010273
Source: RNAcentral